Molecule: ribosomal RNA, 812 nt
Filed under: Nodularia spumigena IFCC-NS01
Lineage: Bacteria; Bacillati; Cyanobacteriota; Cyanophyceae; Nostocales; Nodulariaceae
Description: bacterial SSU rRNA
Rfam family: Bacterial small subunit ribosomal RNA
Source: RNAcentral
UUUUUNGAGUUUGAUCCUGGCUCAGGAUGAACGCUGGCGGUAUGCUUAACACAUGCAAGUCGAACGGUCUCUUCGGAGAUAGUGGCGGACGGGUGAGUAACGCGUGAGAAUCUNGCUUCAGGUCGGGGACAACCACGGGAAACUGUGGCUAAUACCGGAUAUGCCGAGAGGUGAAAGGCUUGCUGCCUGAAGAUGAGCUCGCGUCUGAUUAGCUAGUAGGUGUGGUAAAAGCGCACCUAGGCGACGAUCAGUAGCUGGUCUGAGAGGAUGAUCAGCCACACUGGGACUGAGACACGGCCCAGACUCCUACGGGAGGCAGCAGUGGGGAAUUUUCCGCAAUGGGCGAAAGCCUGACGGAGCAAUACCGCGUGAGGGAGGAAGGCUCUUGGGUUGUAAACCUCUUUUCUCAGGGAAGAAAAAAAUGACGGUACUUGAGGAAUAAGCAUCGGCUAACUCCGUGCCAGCAGCCGCGGUAAUACGGAGGAUGCAAGCGUUAUCCGGAAUGAUUGGGCGUAAAGGGUCCGCAGGUGGCUAUGUAAGUCUGCUGUUAAAGAACCUAGCUUAACUAGGUAAAAGCAGUGGAAACUACAAGGCUAGAGUGCGUUCGGGGUAGAGGGAAUUCCUGGUGUAGCGGUGAAAUGCGUAGAUAUCAGGAAGAACACCAGUGGCGAAGGCGCUCUACUAGGCCGCAACUGACACUGAGGGACGAAAGCUAGGGGAGCGAAUGGGAUUAGAUACCCCAGUAGUCCUAGCCGUAAACGAUGGAUACUANGCGUGGCUNGUAUCGACCCGAGCCGUGCCGAAGCAAAAAA